Molecule: long non-coding RNA, 688 nt
Organism: Alosa sapidissima (American shad)
Lineage: Eukaryota; Metazoa; Chordata; Actinopteri; Clupeiformes; Clupeidae
Exons: 3
Source: RefSeq, a predicted model, not a curated record
UGUUGAUAGCUUUCUGCAAUAAACCUUUACUCAACAUUUCUGGGUUCACUAUUGGGCCUAUGGGAGAUACUAGACUAUACCACAUUCUCUGACUACACUGCAAAUUCAAAGAACCAGACCUAGAGGCUACCUAUUGUUUGUUUAGGCAGCAGGUGGUUCUGGUUUACAGCUGGCAACAUACCAUUCGGCAAUGUGCAAGAGAAGCAUGCUACCGUUUUGGAGUGACUGGUGUACCAGUUGAGACGUGAAUCAGACUGCUGGCGCCUGCUGUGUGUGACAUGAUUAAAACUGACCAUUCAACACUCAGCGUCCCUGUUUCCCACUAUCUGCUAUCACCAUGAAUGGAUCAACACAUUUCAUGUAAGAUCACCUAAAAGUGCCCAUUUGAAAAUGAACGUCGUUUUGAAGAUCCAUUCCCGGUAUGUGAGCACAGCGUCAGUCUGGGAGGAAGUGCAGACUACAGCAAAAACUUCAACCCCCAUUUCCAUAUGAUGGAUUUUUGAAGCAUGCCUGCUGGUCACUGACCUGUUCCACAUGUACAGUAUAACCAUGCCAUUGCUAAUGACGUAAUCCUUAUGCUGGUUGUGUCAACCUUGAUGUUGUGACCUUGUUAAUGAAUAGUAGUAUUUGUGACUGGUAAAAAGACAUCAAACUGUUAGAACUGUUACACUUUUAAUAUUUUUGUGGA